GGAGUCUUGCAUUGUCACCUAGGCUGGAGUGCAGUGGUGCGAUCUCCACUCACUGCAACCUCCGCCUCCCAGCUUCAGGAGAUUCUCCUGCGUCAGCCUCCCAAGCUGCUGGGAUUACAGGGUUGCAGAAAAGGAAGAAGAAUCAGCAGAGAGCAUUUGUGGCCAGCAAAGCUUAAAAUAUUUCCUAACCGAUCCUUUGCAAAAAAAGUUCACCCACUCCUGUAGUCAGCAGCUCCCCUACUGUGCGCAGUCAGUGUGCCAUCUCAGACUAGCAAAGUUGUCCAGAGAGGAAAGACAGGCCAAAAUAGUUCAGUAUGCUGUCUUACUGGGAGGACAACAGCUUAAGCCACAAAGCCCUGAGUUUGACCCUAGAACUCUGUGGCUACUGGUGACUCAUCUUGAAAAUUAUCAGAUUGAAUCUUCUCUACCGGUUUGAUAACAACUGAUGAGUGGAAAAAGAACGCCAAUCAAAUGUGCAUGCUUAAUAAGCAGCCUCCUUAUUCCCCUCUGCAGAUUUGUGCUUGGAUCAUCUACACUUCCCUGAAUGUUGAAGAAGAUAUGCUAUCCAUGCAAUCCUUGUCGACUGCUUGAUUAAAAAGUGGAUAAACUGUCUUCAGGCCCUUGGAGUAUGGUGUCUGUGUGAAGAAGGGAAUGAGGCAGAAGUAGCAGUCAGUGGUGGCUGAAGUAGGAGAAAGUGCUUGCUAAUGAAAUCUUGAUUUUUCUGUGGCUUUUCUGUGCAAUUGGGUGGCUAAGUAGGAAAGCCAUUGGAGCUUCACUGUAUCAAUUCUGCCUUUCUUGUUUUUUGGAACUCCAAUUCACCAAGGCUCCCUGCCACCCUAUCCAUCUAUAACUUUUCAUCACUUUUUCCUCAAAGUAAGAAGUGUGUCCCAGAAAAUGUGCCUUUGUGACUCAGCAACAUUUCAAAUCCAUCUGAGCCUUCCCAGCGUUCCAAAAGAAAUACUGAUUUGAAUUCAGCUGCUUAAAAAACCAGUCUCUAAGCAGACAGCUUGAAACUUCCUUACAGCAAUAGUUUAGGCUUUGGAGGGGAAAUUGGUUUGUUUUUAAUUGUUUUAAUUUUUCAUUCAAUUCAUUUGCCGCCUGAUUAUAUAUGAUCUUUUGAGCCCAAUACUCUGCUAAAUUAACCUUGACUUUCUUUCUCUCUUUCUCUCUCUCUCCUUCUCUCUUUCUUCCUUUCUUUCUUUCUUUUUGACAGAGCCUUGCUCUGUCGCCCAGGCUGGAAUGCAGUGGCACAAUCUCAGCUCACUGUAAACUCCGCCUCCAAAGUUCAAGCAAUUCUCCUGCCUCAGCCUCCUGUGUAGCUGGGAUUACACACGCCAGCCACCAUGCCUGGCUAAUUUUUGUAUUUUUAGUAAAGAUGGAGUUUCACCCUCUUGGCCAAGCUGGUCUCGAACUCCUGACCUCAACCUUGGCCUCUCAAAGUGCUGGGAUUACAAGCAUGAGCCACCAUGCCUGGCCUUACCUUGAUUUUUUUUUUUUGAGACAGAGUCUCACUCUGUUGCUCAGGCUGGAGUGUAGUGGCUCGAUCUUGGCUCACUGCAACCUCCAUCUCCCGGGUUCAAGAGAUUCUCCUGCCUCAGCCUCCCAAGUAGCUGGGACUACAGGUGUGGGCCACCACGCCUAGCUAAUUUUUUAUAUGUUUACUAGAGACAGGGUUUCACCAUGUUGGGCAGGCUGGUCUUGAACUCCUGACCUCAGGUGAUUCACCUGCCUCGGCCUCCCAAAAUGCUGGGAUUACAGGUGUGAGCCACCACACCCGGCCCCUACCUUUGAUUUUUAAGUCAAGAGGGAACAAGUCGAAAUUUCUAUUCAGGUAAACUGUAUACCUUUGGACACUGAAUCACUUUUAGAACCCCAGUAAAAAUCAUGUAUGAAUGACCCACAAUUUCACUCCAACAGGAAGGUGUGUAUAUGUGCACAAAAACAUUAGAUUGUUCACACCGGUGCUAUUCAUAAUAGUCAAAAACUGGAAACAACUCAAACAUCCAUCAACUGUAGAAUGGAUAAAUAAAUCAUGAUAUAUUCAUACCAUGGAACAUAACAGUGACAAUAAAUGAACCACUGCUACACACAACAGAUAUGAAUUUCACAAACAGAAUGCUGAGCAACAGAAGCCAAACACAGAAGGAUACACAUUUAUAAAUCCAUUUGUAUGAAGUUCAUAAACAGACAAAAUUAGUCAGUGGAGAUUAUUCUCAUAGAAGUCUGAAGGGUAGUUGUCUUUAGGGAGGGGGAUAUAGUGACUGAGGUGGGUAUAAGGGGUUUCUGGGGUUUGGUGAUGGUACACCAGCAUAUUCACUCUGAAAACUCAUUGAGCUGUGCAAUAAUGAUUUUUCAAACUUUUAUAUGUGUAUGAUAAUGCUUCAAUAAAGCUUUGCUUAAAAA
RNAcentral lists this long non-coding RNA (2403 nucleotides) under Homo sapiens (human). RNAcentral describes it as "HSALNT0310074". Lineage: Eukaryota; Metazoa; Chordata; Mammalia; Primates; Hominidae. The record is from RNAcentral.